CCAGCCACAUAUUAAUCCCAAAUAACUUACAUUAGCCACAACGUGACACACAGCCCCCCGUCUCUCUCUCUGAAUUGCCAGAGUGCGCACUUGGAUUGCUGCCAACAAUUUACUACCUUUUAUUGCUGCCAACAAUUUACUACCUUUUUAUUUAUACAAAAAAGCUGAAUUUCAUUUCCAAUUUACCUGGUAGUUGGAGUAAUCAAUAGGAAUUGAAAUGGCCCUCAAUUUGCUUUCUCCUACUGAAAUUAAGUCAAUCUCUUUCUUGGACACCUCAAAGUCCAGCUACAAUCUUAACCAUCUUAAGUUCUCAGGUUCUUUAUUGAGAAUUCUAAACCCCAUGUAAAAGUUGUUUGAUUUGGAUAACUUUGCUGAAAGUUUUUAUCUUUUGUGUUGUUUUCUUCAAUUUUGAGUUGUGGGGUUGGUUAAAGAUUAUCUUUUUUCCCCCUUUUUUGCUGCAAGAAUCGUUUUUUAAAAUUUCUAUUAUGAUUUUGACUGAUUUGGGGUUGAAGGGUUUUGUGAUUUUUCUUGAUAUAGGUGGACUGUCUAUCAGAAGAAAGGGGUGCAGUGGGGCAUUUGCUAAGAGGGUUCAGUGUUCAGCACAGCCGCCACCACCUCCUGCCUGGCCUGGAAGGGCUGUUGCUGAGCCAGGACGGCAGAGUUGGGA
Molecule: long non-coding RNA, 667 nt
Filed under: Solanum tuberosum (potato)
Lineage: Eukaryota; Viridiplantae; Streptophyta; Magnoliopsida; Solanales; Solanaceae
Description: long non-coding RNA (STUB_LNC004131)
Source: RNAcentral